This 3076-nucleotide long non-coding RNA is filed under the name Nicotiana benthamiana. RNAcentral describes it as "long non-coding RNA (NBEN_LNC010071)". The record is from RNAcentral. Lineage: Eukaryota; Viridiplantae; Streptophyta; Magnoliopsida; Solanales; Solanaceae.
CUUUGUUGAGAUUUUAAUCAAGUUCUUGUCCACAUUGGGCCAAUAUCAGGCAGGCCCAGUUACUACAUUUUUCUGGCUUGGCCUAUUUUUGAAUUAACCAAAAUUUGCCUAUUCAUCAAGAUUAUACCAAUUGUUUGUUUAGUAAAAAUCAAUAGAGAUCAAACAGCAACACCAAUUAACGAUUAAACACAUAUUUAAGCAGGAAAUAAUAACAUGUUAUCUAUCAUAAUUUUUAAAAGAACAUUCACAAUUUGAAGUCAAUCUGCAGGGUUCAAUGCCCAGGCCUGUUUUCUUGGGCAUACUUGCUUAAAUAAGUCAUAAUGUUGGACCUCACUGCAAGUCUGGCCCAAUUCAUGCUAAACCGUAAAAUAAUAAUGUUCAUUAUGAAAACGUUCAACUGCCACAACACUAUACAUGAGCUAAACAAAAACUGAAUUUAAGAAUCAACAUAACAAUUUAUUUCUUCUACUUAAAGUCCAUAAAUUUACAUAACUUUCCUAAAUACAAUUAUAUAUCUAGAAAAAAUAUUAAGGCAAAAACUAACUUCCUUCCUAAUUUGGAGUCCAACUAUUACAAGAUCUUUCAAAGAAAAGACAACUUCAACAUGCAAGAACAAUAGUGUUGUUUUCUUGCAGGCUAGCAUUUGAAUUUCAUCUCUGAAACUUCUCACUGUUCAUCAGACUUUGUUCUAGCCUAGACUUUCAUAGAUAUGACCAUGUGAAAAGGUCUGACUCACAAAAAUGUCUUUAGAUACACAACCCUACUACAUCAUCAGACCAAAAUUCAGACAAAUAAUGCAGAAACAGUUGUGAUUCAUGGGUUUAACUAUGUUAAGGGCCAAACUCAUGAACUGACAAGGACUUGAAAUCCAAAGACAUGGUAUGCUUCCUUAGAGCAAUAACAAAAUGGACUAAAAGGGAAGGAAAUGGGAUAGUUUAUUCCGUAAAUCUGACCAUGUAAGGGUCAGACUAAAUGAACAAACCAAGUUUCAAUUAUGGGGAUCUAAACAUACUACCUGACCAAUGCAACAAGAGAAAUGCAUACUAGUUGAAAUAAUCAAAUGACCAAUAUUAAAGUCAUAUAAGGAAAAAAAUUCUCAUGAUAUAAAACCAAAUGGACAGACUCACAGAAAAAGCUUCAAUACUAUUGCAACUUCAACAUUAAAAUCAUAUAAAAAAGACAAAGAUAUACACCAUUGACAGGAAAGAACCAUUUGUAUUUAUCUUUAAACUUCAUCUACAAUCAUUUAAAUAUGGAAGAAAUAUGUACCUUGGAUAGCAACAGAAAAAUAACAAGUAGAGGAUGAAAGGAAAAUGGCUGAGAAACUUCAGAAGCCGGAAAACAACAGCAGUAAACUAACACACGACAACAGUCCCCAGAUAAACCAGAAUUUCGGACCCAAAACCAAACAACUUGAAAUCAAAAAUAUCAGCUAAAUAACCCAAGAAAGAUUCUCUACUUCAAAUCAUGUUUUUCAGCUUGUAAAAGUCAAGAAUGAGAAGUUUUGAAUGUUGUUCUAAAGUUUUCUGAAAUCUGUACUUUUUUAGUGACAAAGGAAAAUUUUAUAAUGCUCAAAAUCUAUGUUUCAGAACUUUUUAGCAGAGAAUAAGACUGAAUGUUGUGUGUGCUAGUAAGGAAAUAUUUUUCUUUUAUAGAGUGUACCAAAAAGCAUCAAAAAGGCAUAUUCUAACCUAUUUUUUCUAAAAAAAAAUCAAAAUAGUACAGCAUCUUUGACGGUUGUCUAUCCCUUUCCUUAUCCAAUAUCAGCAUUUAAGCUAAGGACAAUGAAAGUUGUGAAAAGUCUAGAAGGUUCUGAUUUUAGCCUAUGUGAAUAUCCAUUUUUUACCCCUUCAAUUACUGCCUAACUCAGUUUUGCCCUAUGUUCUAAUAAUUCAACUAAUUAGAAACCUUCAACUAAAUGAUUAAGUUGCUUAAUGACAUUGCAAUUCAUUAACCUAAAUUUAAAUAGCUGUUCAGAGGCUCAAUCUUAAGCUUAACAUCAAUUAAACCUAGGUAAUCCAAUCAUGUAGGCAAUCAAAUCUUAACUCAAAGGUUAUUGAAAUCUAGCAUACUUAGGCCAAGGGAACCACAAAUUAAAUUUAAGCUAUGUUCAGAAAAAUGAAAAUGGAUCCGGCUACAACUAAGAAAAGUAUGAAUUGGCUCAAAUAGACUAUUGAUUAACAUUUUAACACCAUCCUUAACAGAACUUGCAAGAACAACCAAAUAGACAAGACAAACAACAAGAAUUAAAAGUAAAAGGGGAAAUAGGGAUAGGUGAAUUAUAGGAAAACUAAACCUUAUCCUUUAAUCCAACGAUCUGGACCCAUGCAAAAUUGAAAUCCUAGAACAAACAAAUAAAGACGCUAAUAGAUAGAAAAGGAGACCUAAAUUAGGCAAAUGAAAUCAAGCAAUUAACGGAAAAUGGGAAAAUAAUCAAAACCAAAAGGAAAUCAAAGAACAAAAGAGGAAAUUAAAGAAUCAAGAACAAAAACGUUACAAGAAGGUACCUAAUGCUUAAUCUUCUAAUCACGGGAUCAACCUCGGACUUUGACCCAAGUUAUGGGGGGUACGAAUGAACUUUAGAGAACUAUAAAUUAAUUGGUCUUAUCAAGGGCAAUGAAUUCAUGGGAGUCUUGGGUUCAAAAACUCCAAAAAUUGCUGGAAAAUUGGAGGAUUAUGGUUCAAGAAACAUAAAUUUAAGAUUCGAGCAAAAGGAGAACGAUUUGGAAAUGGGCUAAUGGUGGUUUAAGGUUCGGGGGGUAGGGGUCAAGGAUUAUAGGGUAUUAAUUUGGGGCGAUUUGGAUGCUUAGGUUUUUUUUAUCAUGAAUCUCGGUUUUGAAAUUCGAGAUUCUUGUGAUGAUUUGAAAGAAACAAAUUGGAGAUUUGGAACGAGGAGGUGAUGGGGGUUCUUUGGUGUUAAAUUUGUGGUGUUGGGACACCGAAACCGCCAUAAGGCGAUUUUCGGUGGUUGUUUGAUGGCAGAGGCGCAGAGAAUAUGAAGGUGGCUAGAGUUUCUUACUUGAGGGUGUGAGGGAGAUGAAAUGGUCUGAUGUUAGGGGUUUGGAAGGGUUGACCG